This is a non-coding RNA of Schizosaccharomyces pombe (fission yeast), 337 nucleotides long. The record is from the annotation of a GenBank genome assembly. NCBI's taxonomy places the organism in Eukaryota, Fungi, Ascomycota, Schizosaccharomycetes, Schizosaccharomycetales, Schizosaccharomycetaceae.
UCCACUAGAAAACCACAUGUCAUUCAUAUUUUGUACUUUUCGGAAGAAAGUCAGAACAAGCUCCCACUCAGGUACUUCAUGCUACAAUGUAAUGCACAAACAAUUGAAGGGUAAAAUAUCUGUUGGAGCAAAUGAUUCCGUGACAUUUCAGCCACAUCACAAACGGCUUACUUCGGAAUAAACAAAUAUUAUUCUAACGGAAAAGAAAAAAAAAAAUCCGCGUUCAGUAGAAGUCACUGCAAAAAUAUGAACCAACAAAUUUGAAUUCGCUUUGCUUACUAAAUUUAUUAAGUCUCAUGUAAAGAAACAAUCAACAUCCACAGCCUUAAGGCAAUCA